RNAcentral lists this ribosomal RNA (253 nucleotides) under uncultured bacterium. Its description in RNAcentral is "partial 16S ribosomal RNA". It matches the Rfam family "Bacterial small subunit ribosomal RNA", at positions 524 to 776 of the family's 1533-position model. The record is from RNAcentral.
UACAGAGGGGGCAAGCGUUGUUCGGAAUUACUGGGCGUAAAGGGCGCGUAGGCGGCCUGCUAAGUCGAACGUGAAAUAGCUGGGCUCAACCCAGGAACUGCGUCCGAUACUGGUUGGCUUGAAUCCGGGAGAGGGAUGUGGAAUUCCAGGUGUAGCGGUGAAAUGCGUAGAUAUCUGGAGGAACACCGGUGGCGAAGGCGACAUCCUGGACCGGUAUUGACGCUGAGGCGCGAAAGCCAGGGGAGCAAACGGG